UUCUCCAGUGGCAUUGAGUGAGACGAGUGAGAGUAGAAGAAAUCGUGGUUGUUGACAAUCAGAUGUCUAUGAUGACCAGUUGAUAUCAAGAAAUGCGAAUUCCUCCAAAAGGAUAAAGGAGGAAAGCUGAUAAUCGCAUAUACGAAUAAUAAGAGAUAAGCAAGAGUAGAAAAAGAUCUGAGGAUAGAUAACCCCGGCCCGGUAGGCCAGUACGUUAGAAAUUAGAAUGACUAAUUUGUAGGAUCUGAUAGCCUAAUGACAUGAACACCCCAAUAACUCGUCAAUUUAACACUGACCUCAUGAAUGGAGAUACCUUUAUGGCUGCUGAAAUCCCGG
RNAcentral lists this long non-coding RNA (336 nucleotides) under Setaria viridis. RNAcentral describes it as "long non-coding RNA (SVIR_LNC005274)". The record is from RNAcentral. Lineage: Eukaryota; Viridiplantae; Streptophyta; Magnoliopsida; Poales; Poaceae.